AACAUGUCUUUUUGAUUAUAAUUUAAAGUCUAAUCUGCUCCAUGAAUAAUUUUAAAUAGCUGCAGUAAUUUGACUGUACAAAGGUAGCAAAAUCAAUAGUUUUAUAAUUUAAAGCUGGAAUGAAGGAUUUUAUGAAAUAAUUACUGUCUCAAAUUAAAUAAAUUUAAAAAUUUUUUUUUAGUAAAAAUACUAAAUUAAUUUUAAUAGACGAGAAGACCCUAUAGAAUUUUAUAAUUUAAUUUUAGGUUAAUUUAAUUAAAUUUUUAAAAUGGGAUUAUUUGAUUGGGGUAAUUAUUAAAUUUAAAAAAUUUUAAUUAAUGAUAAACAAAAAUUAUUGGAAGUUUGAAUUUAAAUUUUGAUUUAGAGAAUAAAUUACCUUAGGGAUAACAGCGUAAUUUUUUUAGAAAGUUCUAAUUAAUAAAGAAGUUUGCGACCUCGAUGUUGAAUUAAAAUAAAAUUUUAAUGUAGUAGUUAUAAAUUUUUGGUCUGUUCGACCAUUGAAAUUUUACGUGAU
Molecule: ribosomal RNA, 514 nt
Filed under: Polytribax contiguus
Lineage: Eukaryota; Metazoa; Arthropoda; Insecta; Hymenoptera; Ichneumonidae
Description: partial 16S large subunit ribosomal RNA
Rfam family: Archaeal large subunit ribosomal RNA (bases 383-514)
Source: RNAcentral